AAAGCUAUACACAGAUAAUUUACACCUCUGAUAAAUAGACUAAUACUGACCAGGUCCCUCGGUCUGGGCGUGGCCCCACACCACCCA
Phyllostomus discolor (pale spear-nosed bat) is the source of this 87-nucleotide long non-coding RNA. RefSeq lists it as uncharacterized. Lineage: Eukaryota; Metazoa; Chordata; Mammalia; Chiroptera; Phyllostomidae. The transcript has 3 exons. The record is from RefSeq and is a predicted model, not a curated record.